CAAUAGCGUAUAUUAACGUUGUUGCAGUUAAAAAGCUCGUAGUUGGAUUUCUGGAGGGAGCGUCGGCCCGUAUUUACGAGUGCGUGACGUCUCUGUCCAUCCUUGCGGGAAGGCACGGCAUUGAUUUGUUGUGUCGGAUCGCAUCGUUUACUGUGAAAAAAUUAGAGUGUUCAAAGCAGGCUUUCGCUUGAAUACAUUAGCAUGGAAUAAUAAGAUAGGACUUUGGUGCUAUUUUGUUGGUUGAGCCUAAAGUAAUGAUUAAUAGGGAUAGUUGGGGGCACCUGUAUUGCGUUGUCAGAGGUGAAAUUCUUGGAUUUACGCAAGACAAACAGCUGCGAANGNGUCUGCNAAGGAUGUUUNCAUUA
Molecule: ribosomal RNA, 365 nt
Filed under: uncultured eukaryote
Lineage: Eukaryota
Description: partial 18S ribosomal RNA
Rfam family: Eukaryotic small subunit ribosomal RNA
Source: RNAcentral